RNAcentral lists this ribosomal RNA (497 nucleotides) under uncultured bacterium. RNAcentral describes it as "partial 16S ribosomal RNA". It matches the Rfam family "Bacterial small subunit ribosomal RNA", at positions 28 to 507 of the family's 1533-position model. The record is from RNAcentral.
GACGAACGCUGGCGGCGUGCCUAAUACAUGCAAGUUGAGCGAUGAAGAUUGGUGCUUGCACCAAUUUGAAGAGCAGCGAACGGGUGAGUAACGCGUGGGGAAUCUGCCUUUGAGCGGGGGACAACAUUUGGAAACGAAUGCUAAUACCGCAUAAUAACUUUAAACAUAAGUUUUAAGUUUGAAAGAUGCAAUUGCAUCACUCAAAGAUGAUCCCGCGUUGUAUUAGCUAGUUGGUGAGGUAAAGGCUCACCAAGGCGAUGAUACAUAGCCGACCUGAGAGGGUGAUCGGCCACAUUGGGACUGCGAAACGGCCCAAACUCCUACGGGAGGCAGCAGUAGGGAAUCUUCGGAAAUGGACGAAAGUCUGACCGAGCAACGCCGCGUGAGUGAAGAAGGUUUUCGGAUCGUAAAACUCUGUUGGUAGAGAAGAACGUUGGUGAGAGUGGAAAGCUCAUCAAGUGACGGUAACUACCCAGAAAGGGACGGCUAACUACGUG